UUUUGAGCCCCAUUUUGGGGUCCCAUUUGGGGUCCCUUUUGCUGCCCCAUUUUGGGGUCGCCCCCUCCCCAACUUGGGGGUCCCACUUUGGGGUCCCUUUUGAGCCCCUUUUGGGGUCCAUUUCGGACCCCAUUGCGCCCCAUUUCAGUUCCCCACCGCCCGUCCUUUCCCCACCCCUUUUCUGCCCCAUUUGGGAUCCCUCCUUCCACCCCAUUCGCUCUCCCAUUGCCUCCCCUUUCAGACACCUUUCAGCGCCCCCCCUUUUGGGGUCCCAUUUAGGAUCCCUUUGUGCCCCAUUUCGGUGCCCCUUUUGGGGUCUCCCCCUCCCCAACUUGGGGUCCCACUUUGGGAUCCCUUUUGAGCCCCUUUUGGGGUCUCAUUUAGGGCCCUUUGAGCCCCUUUUGGGGUCCAUUUCGGACCCCAUUGCACCCCAUUUCAGUUCCCCACCGCCAGUCCUUUCCCCACCCCUUUUCUGCCCCAUUUGUGAUCCCUCCUUCCACCCCAUCCGCUCUCCCAUUGCCUCCCCUUUCAGACACCAUUCAGCGCCCCCCCCCUUUUUGGGCUCCCAAAUUUGGGGGUGGGGGGAUCUUUCCCCCCCUCCCUCCCCACUUUGGGGUCCCCACCUCCGGUCUGCGCGUCGAAGCGCUUGGUGGCGAUGGCGUCGAUCUCGUCGAUGAAGAUGAUGGCGGGCGCGUUUUCCUUGGCCAACCUGAAGACGUCCCUCACCAUGCGAGGACCCUCCCCCAAAUAUUUCUGCACGAACUCCGAGCCCACCACCCGGAUAAAGGCAGCUGGGGGGGGGGUGGGGAGGGAGAAAGAAAGGGUCAACCCUAAAAACCCCUAAUAGACAUCCCGUAUCAUCCCAAAGGGUCCCGUAACCUUGGUGUGAUUCAGAAAGACCCCAAAACCCCCCCAAAAAAAUCCCCAAAGGUCCCAGAAACACCAUAAGACUCCCCCGAAGAUCCCAUNNNNNNNNNNNNNNNNNNCCCAUACCCACCCCAAAGAUCCCAUAACCCCCCUAAAGACCCCAGACCCACCCCAAAGAUCCCAUAAGACCCCCAAAGACCCCAUACCCACCCCAAGAGUCCCAUAACCCCCAUAAACCCC
Molecule: long non-coding RNA, 1107 nt
Filed under: Phasianus colchicus (ring-necked pheasant)
Lineage: Eukaryota; Metazoa; Chordata; Aves; Galliformes; Phasianidae
Description: lncRNA (ENSPCLG00000016063.1)
Source: RNAcentral